RNAcentral lists this ribosomal RNA (434 nucleotides) under uncultured Lachnospiraceae bacterium. Its description in RNAcentral is "partial 16S ribosomal RNA". It matches the Rfam family "Bacterial small subunit ribosomal RNA", at positions 341 to 792 of the family's 1533-position model. Lineage: Bacteria; Bacillati; Bacillota; Clostridia; Lachnospirales; Lachnospiraceae. The record is from RNAcentral.
ACGGAAGGCAGCAGUGGGGAAUAUUGCACAAUGGGCGAAAGCCUGAUGCAGCGACGCCGCGUGAGUGAAGAAGUAUCUCGGUAUGUAAAGCUCUAUCAGCAGGGAAGAAAAUGACGGUACCUGACUAAGAAGCCCCGGCUAACUACGUGCCAGCAGCCGCGGUACUACGUAGGGGGCAAGCGUUAUCCGGAUUUACUGGGUGUAAAGGGAGCGUAGACGGUUUGGCAAGUCUGAAGUGAAAUGCGGGGGCUCAACUCCUGAACUGCUUUGGAAACUGUCGAACUAGAGUGCAGGAGAGGUAAGUGGAAUUCCUAGUGUAGCGGUGAAAUGCGUAGAUAUUAGGAGGAACACCAGUGGCGAAGGCGGCUUACUGGACUGUAACUGACGUUGAGGCUCGAAAGCGUGGGGAGCAAACAGGAUUAGAUACCCUGGUA